Molecule: ribosomal RNA, 421 nt
Filed under: Fusobacteriota bacterium
Lineage: Bacteria; Fusobacteriati; Fusobacteriota
Description: Fusobacteria bacterium partial 16S ribosomal RNA
Rfam family: Bacterial small subunit ribosomal RNA
Source: RNAcentral
UGGGGAAUAUUGCACAAUGGACGGAAGUUUGAUGCAGCGACGCCGCGUGGAGGGUGUAGGCCUUCGGGUUGUGAACUCCUUUUUCUCGCGAAAAAGGCACAGUUUUGGCUGUGUUGAUGGUAGUGGGGGAAGAAGCGCCGGCUAACUACGUGCCAGCAGCCGCGGUAAUACGUAGGGCGCGAGCGUUGUCCGGAUUUAUUGGGCGUAAAGAGCUCGUAGGUGGUUCGUCGCGUCUGUCGUGAAAGCCAGCAGCUUAACUGUUGGUCUGCGGUGGGUACGGGCGGGCUUGAGUGCGGUAGGGGUGACUGGAAUUCCUGGUGUGGCGGUGGAAUGCGCAGAUAUCAGGGGGAACACCGAUGGCGAAGGCAGGUCACUGGGCCGUUACUGACACUGAGGAGCGAAAGCGUGGGGAGCGAACAGG